CACGCAGGCGGUGAGGUAAGUCUGAUGUGAAAUCUCCUGGCUUAACUGGGAGGGGUCGAUUGGAAACUGCCGUACUUGAGGCGAUGAGAGGGGUGUAGAAUUCCCGGUGUAGUGGUGGAAUGCGUAGAUAUCGGGAGGAAUACCAGUGGCGAAAGCGACACCCUGGCAUUAGCCUGACGCUCAUGUGCGAAGGCGUGGGGAGCGAACG
Molecule: ribosomal RNA, 208 nt
Filed under: uncultured bacterium
Lineage: Bacteria
Description: partial 16S ribosomal RNA
Rfam family: Bacterial small subunit ribosomal RNA
Source: RNAcentral